RNAcentral lists this ribosomal RNA (254 nucleotides) under uncultured bacterium. RNAcentral's name for it is "partial 16S ribosomal RNA". It matches the Rfam family "Bacterial small subunit ribosomal RNA", at positions 524 to 776 of the family's 1533-position model. The record is from RNAcentral.
UACGAAGGGGGCUAGCGUUGUUCGGAUUUACUGGGCGUAAAGCGCACGUAGGCGGAUCGUUAAGUCGGGGGUGAAAUCCUGGAGCUCAACUCCAGAACUGCCUUCGAUACUGGCGAUCUCGAGUCCGGAAGAGGUGAGUGGAACUCCUAGUGUAGAGGUGGAAUUCGUAGAUAUUAGGAAGAACACCAGUGGCGAAGGCGACUCACUGGUCCGGUACUGACGCUGGAGGUGCGAAAGCGUGGGGAGCAAACAGG